AACAGGUGCCUUGUAAAGGGGCUUAAUAGGGAAGACCGGUGAGAGUCCGGCGCGGUCCCGCCACUGUGGCAGGGAGCAGCCCGCACAAUAUCACUGAGGCGGUGAUGCCUUGGGAAGAUGCGGCAAGCGAUGAUCUGGAGCCAGGAGCACUGCCUGUUC
Molecule: non-coding RNA, 159 nt
Filed under: uncultured Anaerosporomusa sp.
Lineage: Bacteria; Bacillati; Bacillota; Negativicutes; Acetonemataceae
Source: RNAcentral